Molecule: ribosomal RNA, 512 nt
Filed under: Aromatoleum evansii
Lineage: Bacteria; Pseudomonadati; Pseudomonadota; Betaproteobacteria; Rhodocyclales; Rhodocyclaceae
Description: partial 23S ribosomal RNA
Rfam family: Bacterial large subunit ribosomal RNA
Source: RNAcentral
GACUAGUACCGUGAGGGAAAGGUGAAAAGAACCCCGGGAGGGGAGUGAAAUAGAUCCUGAAACCGUGUGCUUACAAUCCGUCGGAGCCUCUGUGUGGGGUGACGGCGUGCCUUUUGAAGAAUGAGCCUGCGAGUUAGUGCUCAGUGGCGAGGUUAACCCGUGUGGGGUAGCCGUAGCGAAAGCGAGUCCGAAUAGGGCGUUUGAGUCGCUGGGUCUAGACCCGAAGCGGAGUGAUCUACCCAUGGCCAGGUUGAAGCGCCGGUAAGACGGCGUGGAGGACCGAACCCACUUAGGUUGAAAACUGAGGGGAUGAGCUGUGGGUAGGGGUGAAAGGCCAAUCAAACUCCGUGAUAGCUGGUUCUCCCCGAAAUGCAUUUAGGUGCAGCGUCGCGUGUUUCUUGCCGGAGGUAGAGCUACUGGAUGGCUGAUGGGCCCCACCGGGUUACUGACGUCAACCAAACUCCGAAUGCCGGUAAGUGAGAGCGUGGCAGUGAGACUGCGGGGGAUAAGCU